Long non-coding RNA from Brienomyrus brachyistius, 416 nucleotides. RefSeq lists it as uncharacterized. Lineage: Eukaryota; Metazoa; Chordata; Actinopteri; Osteoglossiformes; Mormyridae. The record is from RefSeq and is a predicted model, not a curated record. The transcript has 3 exons.
GGAUGGUUCUUCGUCUCCACCGCAGGCCGGCCGAUCUUCAAUGCAUCGAAUCACCUCAACCGGCUGCACCAAAAAUGCAAGCUGGAUCCAGUCAGCAAGCAGAUGGCCUGGCGCAUCUUUGAGACGGCGACCAAGGACUUGAGUCACCAGGAGAAGUCCUUGGUGGCUGAUUUACCUCACGAAUUCCACUGCGACGGCUGACAAGCACUACCGGAUGAAGCAGUCGCGGAAUGUGGUGCUGGCCAAUAAGCUGCUGAAGAAGCUGGCAGGUGACUCGAGGCAGCAUUCGAUCAGCUCCUUUGAACCCACUCCGUGACCCUGGAGGGCGAGGUGCCAGACACGACUGUACGGACACAAACGUCGGGCCAGUUUCAGCGACAGCUCUGAGCACUGGCUGAAGGCCCUGAUAAGGAUGC